RNAcentral lists this ribosomal RNA (379 nucleotides) under uncultured eukaryote. RNAcentral's name for it is "partial 18S ribosomal RNA". It matches the Rfam family "Eukaryotic small subunit ribosomal RNA", at positions 592 to 976 of the family's 1831-position model. The record is from RNAcentral.
CAAUAGCGUAUAUUUAAGUUGUUGCAGUUAAAAAGCUCGUAGUUGGAUUUCGGAUGGGAUUUGCCGGUCCGUCGUUACGAUGUGCACUGGCAAGUCCUAUCUUGUUGUCGGGGACUAGCUCCUUGGAUUCACUUCCUGGGACUAGGAGCUGACGAGGUUACUUUGAGUAAAUUAGAGUGUUCAAAGCAAGCCUACGCUCUGAAUACAUUAGCAUGGAAUAACACGAUAGGACUCUGGCUUAUCUUGUUGGUCUGUGAGACCAGAGUAAUGAUUAAGAGGGACAGUCGGGGACAUUCGUAUUUCAUUGUCAGAGGUGAAAUUCUUGGAUUUAUGAAAGACGAACUUCUGCGAAAGCAUUUGUCAAGGAUGUUUUCAUUAA